This 617-nucleotide long non-coding RNA is filed under the name Heterocephalus glaber (naked mole-rat). Its description in RNAcentral is "lncRNA (ENSHGLG00000045539.1)". Lineage: Eukaryota; Metazoa; Chordata; Mammalia; Rodentia; Bathyergidae. The record is from RNAcentral.
GUGAGUUUUCCAAAACUCGGAGACAAAACCAAAAGUCAGUGAGGUCUGGGGUGAGCAUUUUGAUUCCACUGAGGAAACAUAGAGUGACAAGGACAAGGUCACACACAACAGGGGAAUUGGAAGAGCUCUGUUGGCCUUGUUUCUUAUUCUCACAUCGGAGCAACAAUUGCUUCCAAAAACAGAGGAAGUAUUCGGCCAGGCUGAGCAUCAGAGCUGGAGUUAACAGACAGCGGAGGGCGAAGAGAGCAGAACAGAGGGAUACAGAACAGACCUUUCAAACUGCUCCUAGAGGUGGGCAGAUUUAUGUUAUUAAAGUUUCCUUAUAGACAAAUGUCAAAGCCAUCUAAUUCACAUUUUCAUGUUGGAGCCAGUGAGUGUCCUCGAGGACCCAUAUGCUGCACCCUGGGCAGAUGUAUGAAGAAACUGGAGAUGAGAAUGCCUUGGCUAUUUGUCUUCUGUUAUGGUUUAUAUCUAGAUGCCCACCCCCCAAGCCUCAUGUGCUCAGGCAGACCUUUUGGAAGGUGACUGGAUCAGGCAGGGUACUAUACUUGUAGGUGGAUUAAUCCACUGAUGUGUUUAUAGCUAAACGUGCUGUUAGGAGGUGGGGUCUGGUUGGA